UCGUCUUCUGGUUACGGGGCCAUAGCUCAGCUGGGAGAGCGCGUGCUUUGCAAGCAUGAGGUCGUCGGUUCGAUCCCGUCUGGCUCCACCAGAUGGUUUGAUCACCUGCGACUGACCGUCGUCCGCGAAACAUCACUUCGCAUUCACUAGUCUGGAUAGACAGUGAACUGCGUGUUUUCUGACAUCGUAAAGAGGAGAUCGAUCCGAGUUGGGUCGUGCAGCAGAUUGUUGCGCGGAUCCUUCAUUAUCUCCGGAUCAUUUUCGGCGCUCGCUUUCAGCCGUGAGGCUGAACGCGAGUUGUAAAAUGAUCCUUUUAGCGAAGCUUGACCGCCUCGCUAUCGGAACGAUCUUAAGAAGCAAGCUGGUCUUUCUAGUCAAUGUCCGGCUGUGAGAAUAGCGCUCGUCGAGGGCGCGUGCCGCAAGGCGGUUCUUACAGGCAGCAUUCUGCCGAGUGUGUGGACAUUGAUAAUGAGAGCAAUCAAGUGCCUUAAGGGUGUUCGGUGGAUGCCUUGGCGCUGAGAGGCGAUGAAGGACGUGCUACGCUGCGAUAAGCCGUGGGGAGCUGCGAAGAAGCUUUGAUCCGCGGAUUUCCGAAGGG
RNAcentral lists this unclassified non-coding RNA (598 nucleotides) under uncultured Bradyrhizobium sp. RNAcentral's name for it is "partial 16S-23S ribosomal RNA intergenic spacer". The stretch from base 477 to 598 matches the Rfam family "Bacterial large subunit ribosomal RNA", at positions 1 to 121 of the family's 2925-position model. Lineage: Bacteria; Pseudomonadati; Pseudomonadota; Alphaproteobacteria; Hyphomicrobiales; Nitrobacteraceae. The record is from RNAcentral.